AACGAGCUCUCAAAUUGAUUUUAUGCUUGCAUAAAUGAUUUUUGUCGGAGCGAGUGGCGAACUGGUGAGUAACACGUGGGUAACCUGCCCCGAAGCGGGGGAUAACAUUUGGAAACAAGUGCUAAUACCGCAUAAUAGUUGGAACCGCAUGGUUCCAACUUGAAAGAUGGCUCUGCUAUCACUUUGGGAUGGACCCGCGCCGUAUUAGUUAGUUGGUGAGAUAAAAGCCCACCAAGACGAUGAUACGUAGCCGACCUGAGAGGGUAAUCGGCCACAUUGGGACUGAGACACGGCCCAGACUCCUACGGGAGGCAGCAGUAGGGAAUCUUCCACAAUGGACGAAAGUCUGAUGGAGCAACGCCGCGUGAGUGAUGAAGGUUUUCGGAUCGUAAAACUCUGUUGUUAAAGAAGAACAAGUGUUAGAGUAACUGUUAACACUUUGACGGUAUUUAACCAGAAAGCCACGGCUAACUACGUG
RNAcentral lists this ribosomal RNA (478 nucleotides) under uncultured bacterium. RNAcentral describes it as "bacterial SSU rRNA". It matches the Rfam family "Bacterial small subunit ribosomal RNA", at positions 52 to 507 of the family's 1533-position model. The record is from RNAcentral.